AUUGAACGCUGGCGGCAGGCUAACACAUGCAAGUCGAGCGGAGAUGAGGUGCUUGCACCUUAUCUUAGCGGCGGACGGGUGAGUAAUGCUUAGGAAUCUGCCUAUUAGUGGGGGACAACAUUCCGAAAGGAAUGCUAAUACCGCAUACGUCCUACGGGAGAAAGCAGGGGAUCUUCGGACCUUGCGCUAAUAGAUGAGCCUGAGUCGGAUUAGCUAGUUGGUGGGGUGAAGGCCUACCAAGGCGACGAUCUGUAGCGGGUCUGAGAGGAUGAUCCGCCACACUGGGACUGGGACGCGGCCCAGACUCCUACGGGAGGCAGCAGUGGGGAAUAUUGGACAAUGGGGGGAACCCUGAUCCAGCCAUGCCGCGUGUGUGAAGAAGGCCUUAUGGUUGUAAAGCACUUUAAGCGAGGAGGAGGCUACUCUAGUUAAUACCUAGGGAUAGUGGACGUUACUCGCAGAAUAAGCACCGGCUAACUCUGUGCCAGCCGCCGCCGUAA
This 500-nucleotide ribosomal RNA is filed under the name uncultured bacterium. RNAcentral describes it as "partial 16S ribosomal RNA". It matches the Rfam family "Bacterial small subunit ribosomal RNA", at positions 30 to 523 of the family's 1533-position model. The record is from RNAcentral.